Molecule: ribosomal RNA, 253 nt
Filed under: uncultured archaeon
Lineage: Archaea
Description: partial 16S ribosomal RNA
Rfam family: Archaeal small subunit ribosomal RNA
Source: RNAcentral
UACCGGCGCCUCAAGUGGUAGUCGCUUUUAUUGGGCCUAAAACGUCCGUAGCCAGCUCUGUAAGUUUUCGGUUAAAUCUAUAUGCUCAACAUAUAGGCUGCCGAAAAUACUGCACAGCUAGGGAAUGGGAGAGGUAGACGGUACUCGGUAGGAAGGGGUAAAAUCCUUUGAUCUAUCGAUGACCACCUGUGGCGAAGGCGGUCUACCAGAACACGUUCGACGGUGAGGGAUGAAAGCUGGGGGAGCAAACCGG